GGGUUGUGAGGUUAAGCGAAUAAGCGUACACGGUGGAUGCCUAGGCAAUCAGAGGCGAUGAAGGACGUGCUAAUCUGCGAUAAGCGUCGGUAAGGUGAUAUGAACCGUUAUAACCGACGAUUUCCGAAUGGGGAAACCCAAUAUCCAAUGGAUAUUAUCAUUACGUGAAUACAUAGCGUAAUGAAGCGAACCGGGAGAACUGAAACAUCUCAGUACCCCGAGGAAAAGAAAUCAACCGAGAUUCCCCUAGUAGCGGCGAGCGAACGGGGAACAGCCCAGAGUCUUAAUCAAUAGCAGCAUCAGGAGAACGGUCUGGAAAGUCCGGCAGUAAAGGGUGAUAGCCCCGUAUCUGAAGAUGCUGUUAUUGUGAACUCGACGAGUAGGGCGGGACACGUGUUAUCCUGUCUGAAUAUGGGGGGACCAUCCUCCAAGGCUAAAUACUCCUGAUUGACCGAUAGUGAACCAGUACCGUGAGGGAAAGGCGAAAAGAACCCCGGCGAGGGGAGUGAAAAAGAACCUGAAACCGUGUACGUACAAGCAGUAGGAGCCUCUUUUAUGGGGUGACUGCGUACCUUUUGUAUAAUGGGUCAGCGACUUAUAUUCUGUAGCAAGGUUAACCGUAUAGGGGAGCCGUAGGGAAACCGAGUCUUAACUGGGCGAAUGAGUUGCAGGGUAUAGACCCGAAACCCGGUGAUCUAUCCAUGGGCAGGUUGAAGGUUGGGUAACACUAACUGGAGGACCGAACCGACUAAUGUUGAAAAAUUAGCGGAUGACUUGUGGAUGGGGGUGAAAGGCCAAUCAAACCGGGAGAUAGCUGGUUCUCCCCGAAAGCUAUUUAGGUAGCGCCUCGUGAAUUCAUCUUCGGGGGUAGAGCACUGUUUCGACUAGGGGGUCAUCCCGACUUACCAACUCGAUGCAAACUGCGAAUACCGAAGAAUGUUAUCACGGGAGACACACGGCGGGUGCUAACGUCCGUCGUGAAGAGGGAAACAACCCAGACCGCCAGCUAAGGUCCCAAAGUCAUGGUUAAGUGGGAAACGAAGUGGGAAGGCUCAGACAGCCAGGAUGUUGGCUUAGAAGCAGCCAUCAUUUAAAGAAAGCGUAAUAGCUCACUGGUCGAGUCGGCCCGCGCGGAAGAUGUAACGGGGCUAAACCAUGCACCGAAGCUGCGGCAGCGACACUUAGGUGUUGUUGGGUAGGGGAGCGUUCUGUAAGCCUGCGAAGGUGUGCUGUGAGGCAUGCUGGAGGUAUCAGAAGUGCGAAUGCUGACAUAAGUAACGAUAAUGCGGGUGAAAAACCCGCACGCCGGAAGACCAAGGGUUCCUGUCCAACGUUAAUCGGGGCAGGGUGAGUCGACCCCUAAGGCGAGGCUGAAAAGCGUAGUCGAUGGGAAACGGGUUAAUAUUCCCGUACUGGUGGUAACUGCGAUGGGGGAACGGAGAAGGCUAGGUUGUCCGGGCGACGGUCGUCCCGGUUCAAGCAUGUAGGCAGAGUGAUUAGGCAAAUCCGGUCACUUAAUGCUGAGGUGUGAUGACGAACCACUAAGGUGGUGAAGCAAUUGAUGCCCUGCUUCCAGGAAAAGCCUCUAAGCUUCAGGUUACCAACAAUCGUACCCCAAACCGACACAGGUGGUCAGGUAGAGAAUACUCAGGCGCUUGAGAGAACUCGGGUGAAGGAACUAGGCAAAAUGGUGCCGUAACUUCGGGAGAAGGCACGCUGGCGGUAAGUGAAGUCCCUUGCGGACGGAGCCCAAGCCAGUCGAAGAUACCAGCUGGCUGCAACUGUUUAUUAAAAACACAGCACUGUGCAAACACGAAAGUGGACGUAUACGGUGUGACGCCUGCCCGGUGCUGGAAGGUUAAUUGAUGGGGUUAUCCUUAGGGAGAAGCUCUUGAUCGAAGCCCCAGUAAACGGCGGCCGUAACUAUAACGGUCCUAAGGUAGCGAAAUUCCUUGUCGGGUAAGUUCCGACCUGCACGAAUGGCGUAAUGAUGGCCAGGCUGUCUCCACCCGAGACUCAGUGAAAUUGAACUCGCUGUGAAGAUGCAGUGUACCCGCGGCAAGACGGAAAGACCCCGUGAACCUUUACUAUAGCUUGACACUGAACAUUGAGCCUUGAUGUGUAGGAUAGGUGGGAGACUUUGAAGUGUGGACGCCAGUCUGCAUGGAGUCAACCUUGAAAUACCACCCUUUAACGUUUGAUGUUCUAACCUAGGUCCAUAAUCUGGAUCGGGGACCGUGUCUGGUGGGUAGUUUGACUGGGGCGGUCUCCUCCUAAAGAGUAACGGAGGAGCACGAAGGUUGGCUAAGCAUGGUCGGACAUCAUGCGGUUAGUGCAAAGGCAUAAGCCAGCUUGACUGUGAGAGUGACGGCUCGAGCAGGUACGAAAGUAGGUCUUAGUGAUCCGGUGGUUCUGAAUGGAAGGGCCAUCGCUCAACGGAUAAAAGGUACUCCGGGGAUAACAGGCUGAUACCGCCCAAGAGUUCAUAUCGACGGCGGUGUUUGGCACCUCGAUGUCGGCUCAUCACAUCCUGGGGCUGAAGUAGGUCCCAAGGGUAUGGCUGUUCGCCAUUUAAAGUGGUACGCGAGCUGGGUUUAGAACGUCGUGAGACAGUUCGGUCCCUAUCUGCCGUGGGCGUUGGAAGAUUGAGAGGGGUUGCUCCUAGUACGAGAGGACCGGAGUGAACGCACCACUGGUGUUCGGGUUGUCAUGCCAAUGGCAUUGCCCGGUAGCUAAGUGCGGAAGAGAUAACCGCUGAAAGCAUCUAAGCGGGAAACUUGCCUCGAGAUGAGUCUUCCCUGUCACCUUGAGUGACCUAAAGGAACGUUUAAGACUAAGACGUUGAUAGGCUGGGUGUGUAAGCGUAGCGAUACGUUGAGCUAACCAGUACUAAUGAACCGUGAGGCUUAACCUGACAACACCGAAGGUGUUU
This 2932-nucleotide ribosomal RNA is filed under the name Proteus hauseri. RNAcentral's name for it is "23S ribosomal RNA". It matches the Rfam family "Bacterial large subunit ribosomal RNA". Lineage: Bacteria; Pseudomonadati; Pseudomonadota; Gammaproteobacteria; Enterobacterales; Morganellaceae. The record is from RNAcentral.